Molecule: unclassified non-coding RNA, 328 nt
Filed under: soil metagenome
Description: partial contains 5.8S ribosomal RNA, internal transcribed spacer 2, and large subunit ribosomal RNA
Rfam family: 5.8S ribosomal RNA (bases 1-120)
Source: RNAcentral
GAUGAAGAACGUAGCGAAAUGCGAUAAGUAGUGUGAAUUGCAGAAUUCAGUGAAUCAUCGAAUCUUUGAACGCACAUUGCGCCCCUUGGUAUCCCGAGGGGCAUACCUGUUCGAGCGUCAUUUCACCACUCAAGCCUGGCUUGGUGUUGGGCGACGUCCCCUUUGGGGACGCGCCUCGAAACGCUCGGCGGCGUGGCACCGGCUUUAAGCGUAGCAGAAUCUUUCGCUUUGGAAGUCGGGGCCCCGUCUGCCGGAAGACCUACUCGCAAGGUUGACCUCGGAUCAGGCAGGGAUACCCGCUGAACUUAAGCAUAUCAAUAAGCGGGGA